UCCAGACAGGAAUUCCAGGCUUGGACUGGAGUGAAGCCCUCAAGAUCCACAAAGGCAAAACCAGCCCGAGUCAUCACAACCCACACUUCGGGAUGGGACAGCAGCCCUGGGGCCGGCUUCCAGGUCCCAGAGGUGAGGAAGAAGUUCACUCCUAACCCCUCCGCCAUCUUUCAGGCCUCAGCUCCCCGGAUUCUCAACGUGUGACUGCCUGCACCGUGACACCGUGGCUGCUGACAGGAGAGGGCUGGGGAGCGGCCUCAGGACCCACUACCGUGGGGCUGGGCGAGAGCAUGGCAUGGGCCCCUCCAGGAGGGCACAGCCCCUCUCAAAGCUGUCACCAGGGCUGAGGUGCUGGUGCGGGGCAGAUGCACCGAUGGACUUGGCACACCCAGCUCAGCUCAGCCUCAAGCGUCCUCUUGAGAAGCCUGUGGAAGGCUCCCGCGUUCGUAACUGCCAUCUGGCCAUCUCUGGGUUUUGAAAUGAGAGGAGCCUGAGGAGCAAGUCAGUUGGGAACCGAAUUGGUCCAUGGAAGCUAAGCAAUGUGGACACAUCCAGUUAUGUCCACGUUUGGUGGAUUUCCCAGGAUGCAUGAGCACUUGAUUAAUUUUAUAACCUAUGGUGAGACCCUUGGCUCUUCCUACAAAUGGCCCCUGCAGUUGAAGCUGUAGGAAUCUUGGGCCAUCACCUGCAUGACUCAUGGUGAUGCUGAGUAUCCAGGAGGAAAUUUCUGGAAGAAACAGACCGUCAGUCACGGACUUCCACUUCACAGACCUCCUUAUGGCCAAGAUGAGCCUCAUGUUUUAACAAAACAUUUCUUGGGAUUGAAUGAAUCACAUUUACCUUGUGGUAGGUGUCUAAAGACUGAAUCUACAUUUUAUUACUAAUUAUUUCCCCCCCUAACAUAAGGAUGACGAGAAGGACACUACCGUACACACUGGCUAAGAACGGGGACUGUUUUUGGGAAGGUGGCAUUGUCUCAUUCCCUGAAAUACCUUAAAAUGUCAUCGACACCAACCCUUCCCCUUCUGUCUACCCUGCUCACAUGGACAGUGACAGGGAACUCACCACCUUUUGAAGAGGCAGUUCAUUUUCUUUGCAAAGCUCUCUCCUAACUUUCUCCGUAAAUUCCAGCCAGCAUGGCCACAUGGGUCACGCCUGGUCCCUUUGCACAGCAGCCCUUCACACAUUUGAAGGGUCUACAUCCCUUUUUAAAGCUUAGAGGCACAAGCUCAGGACAGUCUUCAGUAAGGAAAUUUGUGGAUUUCCCUUUGGAUCUUUCUUCCUCUCCGGCCCACAAGUGGCUCUAGUCUGACGAGCAUUUAAGCUGCAGAUGGUGGCACUCCACUCGGGUCUCAGAGCCACCAGACAUGCAGGUGGGACAGUGGUUCCAGCUCAGGCUGCCUGUCAGCGUCCCUUCCAGGUGCUAGCCCUGGCAGGCAUAGCCCUCCCCUCAUGCCAGCACAGGAAAUGCUCUUGGUGAGAGGCUCACUUUAAAGAAGUCCAAACCGUGUGCUUAUCCAAGGGGUUCUGCUAUUUCAGACUUCACGGCUUGCAUGUUUGAUUUUUCUAAGAGAAAAGAGGCUGCCUGCUGGGUGUCUGGGGAAAUGAGAUUAAACUGUACAAUCUCAGUUUUACUAAAAUGCAAAAAUGUACAGUUUCAAUUUCUUAAAUUGUAAACACGAGUUUUCUCAUGCUU
Mandrillus leucophaeus (drill) is the source of this 1696-nucleotide long non-coding RNA. RefSeq lists it as uncharacterized. Lineage: Eukaryota; Metazoa; Chordata; Mammalia; Primates; Cercopithecidae. The transcript is spliced from 2 exons. The record is from RefSeq and is a predicted model, not a curated record.